This 484-nucleotide ribosomal RNA is filed under the name uncultured bacterium. RNAcentral's name for it is "bacterial SSU rRNA". It matches the Rfam family "Bacterial small subunit ribosomal RNA", at positions 9 to 491 of the family's 1533-position model. The record is from RNAcentral.
GAGUUUGAUCCUGGCUCAGAUUGAACGCUGGCGGCAGGCCUAACACAUGCAAGUCGAGCGGUAGAGAGAAGCUUGCUUCUCUUGAGAGCGGCGGACGGGUGAGUAAUGCCUAGGAAUCUGCCUGGUAGUGGGGGAUAACGCUCGGAAACGGACGCUAAUACCGCAUACGUCCUACGGGAGAAAGCAGGGGACCUUCGGGCCUUGCGCUAUCAGAUGAGCCUAGGUCGGAUUAGCUAGUUGGUGAGGUAAUAGGCUCACUAAAGGCGACGAUCCGUAACUGGUCUGAGAGGAUGAUCAGUCACACUGGAACUGAGACACGGUCCAGACUCCUACGGGAGGCAGCAGUGGGGAAUAUUGGACAAUGGGCGAAAGCCUGAUCCAGCCAUGCCGCGUGUGUGAAGAAGGUCUUCGGAUUGUAAAGCACUUAAGUUGGAGGAGGGCAGUAAAUAAUACUUGCUGUUUGUACGUUACCGACAGAAUAAGC